Molecule: long non-coding RNA, 1671 nt
Organism: Equus caballus (horse)
Lineage: Eukaryota; Metazoa; Chordata; Mammalia; Perissodactyla; Equidae
Source: Ensembl
GUUACACUCUUGUUUGCAAUUAGUUACAAGUAGUCUUCAAGUGGUAAACUGGUUGAACCCUAAAGAAUUAUGUGGGUGUUAGUUAUUUGGAAACUAGUAUUUUAAUCUUCCCUAGAAAUAGGGCUUUCUAUAGUUGUAACGGAGAUCUUCGGCCGGUCAAAAAGCCUAAUGAAUGAAGAUAUUGAAAUACAAUUCUUCACUACUGAACCUUACUCUCACGUGUAAUUGCAUCGAGAGUUGAAUUUAGCUCAAAAUUCAACUCCAGGUUGUAGGUACACAUUUCCCCAGCUCCUCCUAAUUUCCUGAUCCUCAACACCCUCCACCACAUCCUGACCCUUCAUGUAUCAUGUAUGUCUUUUCUGUUCCUCAUACAGGGUUCAGAUGACUGCAGGUCUGAGGCACGGGCUCCCUCCAGUAUGACGGUGGCUUGGCAUUCGGGACACCAGCUUUAGAUGGUGGCAGAGCUCUGGAGGCUGACGAAAGGAGCCGAGGUCUGUUUAGCUCCAUUCUCUUCUGCUGAGAGCUCCACUGCUCCCUCUCCACUGCUACCGUCUCCUUGCUCCAAAUAGGAUUCUCUCCUCUCCUGGCCCACUCUAGCAGAGUCUUACACACAGGCAUUCUGAGAGUUUCCUCAAAGCUUUGGCUACUACUUUCUAAGGCUCACAAACAAACCGUGAGUAAGAAGUCUCCCUCUUCUGACUCCUCCUUCCUUUGGCCACCUAGGCCCAACAGGAAAGAAAGUUACCUACAGAAGCUUAUAGUCUCUUAUGGAAACCUGUUGUUGCCAUCGAUGCCCCCCAUACCUUUCACCACUCAGAUCACUCAUGUCAACUCACCCCAUCUUGUCACUGUUGCCAGACGACAUUCGGGAAGAAUCCAUAACCCUGCCAUAGAGUAAAAACCAUGUACAAAAAAUAGAGUCAGACAUUUUGGAAGAUAAUCAGGUUCUUUUUCCCAACAGAAUUGCAGCACACAAAAAGUAAAGUCACGAGGAAACACGACAGAAACAAAAGCAUCCGUUUCAGGGUCCAGCACUGGAACCUCUGACACAGUUUCCGGGUUCUGUAUUCCUCUCAGAAAACGUUAUCUGGUUAUAUUAUCCAAAAUCAAGACUUUUCACCUCAAAACUGGCUUGGGUAAUCUUUUCUCUAUUUAUCUUUCUCUUCAUCUACAAAAUAAGACACUUGCAAAAUGCACUUUGAGUCUGUCACCUUCACAGUAUCAUGCUAACAUUCAGCAUUGCACAAAUAUUAUUGAUUUUUGGACAGCCUGCACUCUUCACCAAAUUCUUUCAAAUUUCAUUAAUUCUGUAUCUGCCAACAAUAUACAUUAGUACAUAUAUCUUAAAGUUCAAAUACACUUAAAGGUUCUCAUCAAAGUAACACACCCUGAUAAUUUCCAGAGAAAUCAUGGGUUCCUAUCAAGACGCCAAAUGGUACGGCAUGUUGCAUCCUCCUCCCAAAACUUCAGAAGUCUAAGGAACUAUGCAUUCCCAGAAAUAACAAGAGUGACAACCCUGGGAAAUGACAGAGGCCUGAAGGCUGUCUCUUAAUUGGUGGGUAGCCUGGGGUUAGGGGCAGUGGGUGGCAGCCUUGAGGGGCUCAGUGUGAGGGAAAAUUUUAAGGACCGUUCUUGCCUCUCCCCUGAGUUGCUUGGAAGCGAUCACUUUCC